GACGAACGCUGGCGGCGUGCUUAACACAUGCAAGUCGAACGGGGUCGAUGCAACUUGUUGCCGAAGAGCUAGUGGGGAACGGGCGCGUAACACAUGAGGAACCUGCCCCGGUCUCUGGGAUAACAAAUGGAAACAUCAGCUAAUACCAGAUGCCGCCUGGAUGUCGCCUGGGGACCAGAGCAAAGAUUUAUCGGACCGGGAGGGCCUCCUCGCCUAUUAUUUGUUGGUGAGGUAACGGCUCACCUAGGCAUCGACUGGUAGCUGGUCUGAGAGGAUGAUCAACCACACUGGGACUGAGACACAGCCCCCACUCCUACGGGAGGCAGCAGUGGGGAAUCUUGCACAAUGGGCGAAAGCCUGAUGCAGCAACGCCGCCUGCGGGAAGAAGGCCCUAGGGUUGUAAACCGCUUUUUUCGGGAAGAAACUGACGGUACCUGCAGAAAAAGGUGCGGCCAACUACAUGCCAGCACCCGCGGUGACACGUAGGCACCGGGCGUUGUCCUGAUUUAUAGUGCGUAGAGAGCUCAGAUGCGGUUCGGCAAGUCGGGUGUGACAACUAUGGGCUCAACCUAGACCCGCCACCCGAUACUGCUGUGACUAGAGUUCGGUAGGGGAGCGGGGAAUUCCUGAUGUACGCGGGAAAUGCGCGGAUCUCCGGGAGGAAAACCGGUGUUGAUAGGCCCUGUUUUUGGGCUAGAUGCCAAGAGGAGGAAAAGACUAGGAUAGCAUACAGGUGUUAGUUCCCCCGGGUGUCCCUUGCGGGAAAACGUGGGGGGGUUAGUUUCUGGGUCUCAACCAACGGAGAUCCGCGCCUGUAGCUAACGCAUUAAGUGCCCCCGCCUGGGGAGUCCGGCCCGCAAGGCUAAAACUCAAAGGAAUCGCCGGGGGCCCGACACAAGCAGCGGAUCGUGUUGAUUAAUUAGAUGCUACCCGAAGAUCCUUACCUGGGUUUGACAUCCACGGAAAAGCUCCGGAGACAGGGUGUCCGAACGCCCCUUACACAGGUGGUGCAUGACUUUGGUUAGCUCGAUUGGUGAGAUGUUGGGUUAAGUCCCGCAACGAGCGCAACCUUUAUCCUAUGUUGCCAGCGGGUAAUGCCGGGGACUCAUAGGAGACUGCCGGGGUCAACUGGAGGAAGGUGGGGACGACGUCAAGUCAUCAUGCCCCUUAUGCCCAGGGCGGCAAACUGGUUCCAAUGGCCGGUACAAAGGUCUGGGAUCCCUGGAGGGGGAGAAAAUCCGAAAAACCGGUUUUCAUUUGGAAUUGGAUUCUCAAAUUGACCCCCAGAAAUCGGGAGUGCUAAGAAAUCCAGAACAACAAUGCCGCGGUGAAUACGUUCCCGGGCCUUGUACACAC
Molecule: ribosomal RNA, 1356 nt
Filed under: uncultured bacterium
Lineage: Bacteria
Description: bacterial SSU rRNA
Rfam family: Bacterial small subunit ribosomal RNA
Source: RNAcentral